AAGAAGGGAUUAAGUUGAUAAGAUUCGUUUAGUUUUGAGUGUUCAAGGAAUACUCAAGCACAAUGAAAACAGAAUAUAUAUAUUAGAUCAAAAAUUUCUAAAGAAAACAGAAAAAACCGAGAAAAAAGUAAAUAAGUAAGAAAAGACUUAUUCACAAGAGUUCAAGGAAGAAGAACGAAGCGAAGAAAGCUACACACGA
Molecule: unclassified non-coding RNA, 199 nt
Filed under: Gemella cuniculi
Lineage: Bacteria; Bacillati; Bacillota; Bacilli; Caryophanales; Gemellaceae
Description: 16S-23S ribosomal RNA intergenic spacer
Source: RNAcentral